GUAUAAUGAUGAUAACAUGCGUGUCAGCUGACUCUGUAAACCGCUGCUGUGUCGUUGCUCUGGUUGGCGUUUUGCUUGUCUGGGUCUUCGGCACUGCAGGGCUACAGAGAUGUGAUCAUACUUCACUACUUCUGAAUAC
This is a small nucleolar RNA of Cyclopterus lumpus (lumpfish), 139 nucleotides long. Ensembl annotates it as small nucleolar RNA, C/D box 10. Its record names the gene SNORD10. NCBI's taxonomy places the organism in Eukaryota, Metazoa, Chordata, Actinopteri, Perciformes, Cyclopteridae. The record is from Ensembl.